CACUGUUGUGUUCCGGUCUUUGUUCUCCGAGGAUUAAUUAUCAGUAGAUCGCUUCCUGCCACUACAUACCUCAGGGCCCAGACAGCCGAAAGCUGAACAGUAGUCGUCAGGAACUGCAACUCAAAAGGGGAAAACAUGCUCCCCAGUUCUCCUUAAAUUGUGGGGAGGGUACAGGGAGGGAGAAUUUUAGAACCUGCCUUCUCCGUGCCUGAGGAAGACAGCUCAGAAUAAUUACUAGUGUCUUAAAUAAGAAACAGGAAGAAACGGGCUCCACAGAGAGUUGCUUCACUCUGCCACAAACAUUUGGUACUUAUCUUUUAACUCCAGACCCAAAGAGGAAUUUAUACAGAGCUGAAAAAAAAAAAAAAAAAACAAAUGGGGCCAGGCCUGCUUUAAAAAGCAAAGUUAGAACCCACUGGUUUCAGACCCAUCUGCCUCCCUUUUCUCUAGAAACAACCCUAGAAUGUUCCAGAAGGUUUAAUGAGGAUGCAUUUCUGCACUGUUUCCUCUCCCUCCAGAUAGAUACAGCAUAUUUAACCAAUCUAGUUUACAGAGGAAAUUCAGGUUUUUUUUUCCUAGCUCGCUUUAUCCAACUGUAACUUAGGGAUCAUAAAUAUGUUUAUGUCUCGUGGGGAACAUUUCUCUUGUGCUGCAUUUUGAAGAUGCUGUCCAGAUGUGAGAGGGUUUUAUCCUUCCCACCUCUGAGACUCCCUUUGAGCAAGAACAUCGCAGUGGAACGUGGGUCUCUCCCAAAUCCCCUGACAUAGCUACGGUUACCAUUGCUGUGCUGAAACCUUGUGACUAAAGCAACGUGGGGAAGGAGACAUUUAUUAGGCCUACGCUUCCCAAUCACUGUUCGUUAUUAAAGGAAGUCAGGCGAAGAGUUGGAACAGGGCAGGAACCAGGAGGCAGUAGCUGAUGCAGAGGUCAUGGAGGGAAAAGGAACAAAGGGACCCAGUGAUCCUACAAAUCCACUUUCAGGGUCCUAACUGAACAGAUUCAGACGCUGGAUAUGCUGUCUGGCCUUAUGUCAACUUCACAAAUGCUAGAGUCAAAUGAGAGGAUGUACUCAAUUGAGAAAAAGCCCCAUUAGAUCAGGUUGUAGGCAAGCCUCUAGGGCAUUUUCUUCAGUAGUGAUUGUUCAGGAAGGGCCCAGCCCACUGUGGGUGGUGCCACCCCUGAGCAAGCCGGUAAGCAUCUAUUAAACCUCCCCUUUUUAACUUUUCAUUGUUAAUUUGGCUCUUCUGGGCAACUGGUGGCUGAGUCUGGCUUGUUGGGGGAUAACCUAUAACCCUAAGUCCGGGGAUAACAUAGCAGCAGGCAGGGGUAUAAGGAUGGCUAGUCCCAUUGAAUCCAUACCCAGGAAACAGUGAAGGGGAGUGGGUCAGGGUUACUGAGUCUCAAGGUGACCCUGAGCACCUCCAGUGAGUGCCUUCCAUUUCCCGUUCAAAUCACAGCAAAACCUGAGCAAAUAAAUGCUACAAUUACACGCCAUAAUGCCUUUGUACAUACAUAGUAUGAGGAAUUAAGAUACCCACACAGUAUCGAUGUUUUGUUACAUUUGUAUUUCUCUCAAUAUUGAGUCUAUAACAAAUAGUGACAACUUUAAUUGUUUGCACUUAAAUACCAAGUAAGGUUUUACUGAUCAGUGGGGAGAGAGUGAGGCAGUAGUCAUUACUUUUGUUGCAAAUGUCCAAUGAGUAAAUGGCUGGAUAUUCAGAUGAGUAAGGUUGGAGAUCAGAUGUACACCAUGGUCACCAUACUGGGCAGAGUGGACCGAGUUUUGGGUGUAAGCUCAUGUGCAUAGAUGGCAAAUGUGUGCCCUGAUAGAAUUACUACCACCAAUUAUCCCUCAAUUAAGCCGGGGAAAGCUAUGGGGGUGGCAUGUGUUUAUUUACACGUGUGUGUGUUUGCCUGCAAAGUCUGUGCGCCAUGUGCAUGCAGUGCUCCUGGAGGCCAGAAGAGGGCGAUGGAUCCCCUGGAACUGAAAUUACAGAUGAUUGUGAUUCGUCAUGCUGGUGCUGGGAGCUAAACCCAGGUUCUCUGGAAGAGCAGGAAGUGCUCUUAGCUGCUGAGCCGUCAUUCCAGCCCCACAGAAAGUGUUUGUAGUCUGAGUUCUGGCUAAGCAAAGACAGGCAGAUCCUGGAGCUCAGUGCAAGAUGUUAUCUCAGGCCCUCCUGCCCGUACAGAUGUCAGGGGGUGGUCAACAUUAGAUUCCUACUCUUUUGUGACCUUUGUCAUCUUUUUGGUGCAUGUGUCUCCCCAAAAGUGGCCUUAGGUUGAAGGAAUGGGUCUUCCUCUGGCUGAUGGCAUCAGAGCCCUUCCAACCACAGUAGGCAGGUUCUGCAGGAACCUGGGAGUUUCUGCACCAUUAGUUCUUAGCUGGGAGUGUCUGCUUCUCUUUGCUUCCCUGUCCCAGCAUGCAACCAGGGCACAGAUUUUGCUGGCCUCUUAUCAAGGUCCAGAUAUCAGAACAAAAGGGAAGUAGAGAAAGUGAACUUAAGGUCCAAUCCCAAGUCUAACGGUGCGGGCUCUCCUGAAGGGUCCUUUCCGCUGCUCUUGGGAAGCCAUAGUCGGCAUCUCCCUUUGCCCGCAAGGACUAACUGAUUGACACUGGGAAAGGAAGGAACACAUUUCCCUCACUCAGAAAAGCAGGGGGCCGUGAAUCACCGCUCUGAUUCAGCUCUCUGAAGCAAUUCUAGUUUCCAAACCAAGGCUUCACUUCUUCCCCGAGAGAUGGAUUUAAUUAGAAGUUCCCUCCUCCCCCUAAGAACUGCUGAGCGCCUUUCUUGAUUUAUUUUCAUGCAAUGCAGGGUGUAUUUUUGGUGUUUUUCCUAAAAUAAAGAAAGAGUUGCCAGAGGCAGUGUUAAUCUUCCAGGAGAUGAUGGAAAGCUGCUCGGAGACAAAACAACAACAACAACAACAACAAAAAACAAAAAAACAAAAACAAAACAAAACCGAACCCCCACCCAUCACCUUCCUGAAGCCCCAGGCCACUGUCGCCUCAACCAAAGGACCACAUCCUUCUGCAAACUUCAAAAAGACAACCAUAAUUUCCACUUCAAGGAGAUGCACUCUUGUCAGGAUGGGCUCCGUCCCGCUGCAAUAACAAACAUCCCCCAGAUGUUUCUGCCUAAACUACAGUGGUUUGUUUGUUCCUCACUGCUAGUCCACACCCCACGAAGACAGGUCAAGAUCUGCCCUCAAUAAAGCUGUGUCCACCGCACUUUCUUUGAGACCCCUGACUGUCUCAACUUGCAGGUCAUGGUGUGUACAUGGAGUGGAGGACUCUAACCCUUCCUCACCAAUCAAAUCUGCCCCGGAAGUGGCAAAAGUGACUUCCGUCUCCACCCAUUCAUCAGAACUGGUCCCUGGGUCUUACCCAAAGACCUGGCAGGCAGGAAGUACAAGCCACCUUCCCCUGUGGCUUAGAGGAGUUGACAGUUAUUGACAAUGGUGACUGCAGCAUUCCGGAUAAACAUUUGCUGGCUGGACGGCGCUUCCCCCUCCCCCAUCACAUCUGUGUUUUCUCUUAGUCUCUUCUUGAAACCUUGGGUUAACAAGGGUUUCUAGCAACAGCGACACGUGCUAUUUUCCAAUCUGUGACUGUCCUUGAUAGCACUUGCUUUGUGUUAUUUCUAUUCCCAGGGACCUGACCCUGUGUUUUCGCAUCUAGCUUUGAGGACACCCUGAAGAGUGAAGACUAGACCCACACCAGAGCCAUCCACCACCUCUAGGGAAAAGGUGGCUUCACCUUAGAGUCUGUCCUGGGCUCACACUUUGUUUCUUUCUCUAAUUUCCAUGUUUUUUAUUCCAGAUUCCCAGCAUUCCUGUCAAGGGCGCAUGUCCUCUCCUGUCCUGAACUUUUUAACUCUGGGGCCUCUGGGGCUAAAUAAGUGUCACACCCAUGGCUGGAGUUAAUGUUAGAGUUAGGAAGAGUCCAGCUCCUGGGUGUGUUUUUUGUGGCUUAUGAUUGCUAUGCAUAUCAUAGGGUGUUAGUAACCACAGAGACAAGACGUUGUAGCACCAUAUAAUGUGAGUGCACAAAGACACACACACACACCUAUACACAAUAUAUACACACAGAGAAACACAUCUAUAUAAACACAUAUACAUACAGACACACCUAUAUACACACCUAUAUAAACACACACAUACACCUAUACACACAGACACAUACAUACACAUUCAUACACACCAGACACCCACACCUAUAUAAACACAUACACAGACACACACACACCUAUACACAUACACCUAUACAUGCACAUACACACACACAUACACACAGAGACACACACACCUAUAUACACACAGACACAGACACACAUAGACACACACACUUAUAUACACAUACACACAUAUAUACAUAUACAUACACACAUACAUACACAUAUGUACACACAUAUACCUAUACACACAUACACACAUAUAUAUAAAUACACACACAUAUACAUACACAUAUAUACCUAUACACAUACAUAUAUAUGUGUACAUACACACAUAUGUAUACACACAUAUAUACAUGUAUACACACAUACACACACAUAUACAGAGUGAGAUCAAUUAUAACUAAAUCUUUAUGUUUGAAGGUAUAUAUUUAUCAGAGUUAAAUUUCCCACAGUGAAAUAGCUCACCAUGAGAAAAAAUUAUAUUUAUGUGAAAAUCACUUUUCUUAGACCCAUCUAGAGAAGCAUAGGGUUGUCUUUGCAACAGAGAAUAUAGUGGAUUCAGGAGACAGACUUUAUAAAGCUUCAAAAGCAAGCCAUGUGGCAGAGGAGGGCAGAUUUUAAACUAUCUUAGGUUGGGCCAACUUUCUAGGUUAAGAUCAAAACCCAAACAUGACUGAACCAGCAUAUGCAGACUUCUUUACAAAACAUAUGUGGGUAACAUUAUCUUUUUGGAGAGGUUAUGGGUAGUGACUUUCUUAUAAAUACAAUUAUCUAGGAUUAUGGCUCGAUCCUGGCAUUACCAGUAAGGUUUAGACAUACUGAGAGGAAAGUUUUGCUGUGUGUGUUACAGCUCUAGUUCACAGACCCUGGCAGUCCAGGAAGUCAGCAGUGUCUCCACCCCUCUCCCCUCCCCUGUCAGGGAGUUGAUCCUGUAGCAAAGCACAAAGACUCCUCCACAGACAAGAAAAAGUGGUCAGAGUUUGUAAGACUGACCCUAAACUGAACACAAUUAGCCCUUUACAAAGGUGGUCUUAUUAUUUAUUUAUUUUUUUGGCUUUUGUUUUCCUCUGUGCCACAAGGUGGCAGUGAACACAUUCUCAAAUAACCAUCUGCUUCAGUUAAAAUGAAGUGGCAAAGUUUGAUUUGAUCUGUAUCAGGAAUGGAAGCUAUUGAACCCAGUAUGAACACAGUGGAAGACCGUCAGGGUUGCUACGGGAGGGUCUCUCCCAAUCAGCUUCCUUAACCUUCAGGAGGGACAUGGAAAUGACCCGUAGCCAUGUGGCUGGACUUCCUGCCAUGAAGUUCUGUCUUCCAUGGUAGGCUCUCUGGCUGAGGUCACAGAAAGGGCUUUUCUCCUCUGCUACCGUCCUGAGGUUAUGUCGGGGUAGAUAAGGGGGACCCUUCAGCCUUUAAGGUUGGAAGCACAAUGUGCUACUAGAACGAACGGUUUGAAACAUUCAUGAGCACCGUGCUGAGCACAAGGACUCAGAGAGGCCCGAGCACUAACUUCAGGCCAUUCCCUUUUGUACCUAGAAGGACAACUCCCCUGUGUCACAGAGUGCACCUCAAUGCUUACAUCGGUAUGUCUCAAAAUGUAGACGUUAUGUCUCUGCAUACUCCGGACAAGCGGAGGCAUGCUGGUGACUUCACGGCCAUCUUUUCUGACUAUUAAUAUUUUCUAAAUUGAGGGGAGUGGGACAUCUCUAAACAAGGAUCCAUACUCCCUCUCUUCGGGCCUAGACCAAUUGUAUUAUUUUGUAGGAAUUAUUCAGGAAGGUGUCGUGUCCCCCCGCCCCUUAGCUCCAGGAUCUGAAUUAUGUCUCUCCCCUGAAAGGGUUGGGUCAGGUGCUUGACAGCAGAACAUCAGUAAGCCUCCAUUGGAAUGCCAGCUUCACCUCAGGUCCCCAGGCACCUCGGAAGAGAAAAGCCACGUUGUGCCCCUGAGGAGUGAAAGCUGUUUCUUCACGAGCCAGUUGCCAGCCUCUUUUGUGGCCUCAUGGGAAAUCUGAGAGUACAGUUGAUGAGGAUUCUAUCUGAGGUUUUAUCUGGAUCCUGGGUAAGAGUGUAGCUACCCAUGUCUUUGAUUUUAAAGGUUUUUUUUUUUUUUUUUUUUUUUUUUUUUUUUUUUUUUUUUUUUGAGGCUUUGCUAGGUAGCCGAGGCUGGCCUCAAGACGAUAAUCCUCCUGCCUUGCCCUUCUAAGCACUGAGAUUACAGAUGUACACUACCAUAUCCUGACUAGUGAGGGCUUCAUGGAGUAAAAAUGUUUACUAAUUUUCCUUGCCAGGGACUAUGAGCUGUGUUUAUCCUCUGACUGCAGAAUGAUUCAUUGCUGAAAAAGAACAAGCACCCUCUUCACACAGAGAGGGAGGGGAUCCUAAACACUUGGUAUCAAUGCCAAUAUGACAUGCUCUGAGGGUUUUCUAGUCUCUUCAGUUUGCUCCUUAGGAGGCAUGACCCACAGAGGACACGGCCAUUUUACAGAUGGGGAAGACUGAGGUGGCGAAGCAAGAGGCUCGUCUGUCAUUGCGCUGAGCUCCAAUCUUUGUCUACUUCCCUGGAAUGCUUGUGUGGCAUAUAAUUCGCAACUGGUGCAGCUUCUCUCUUUCUCUCUCCGAUCUUCUUUAGUAUUGGGUGUACAGUGCUUAAAUGAGUUGACUGUAGCAUUGAGCAGUGGCAGAUAUUUGAGUGUUCAAUGAGUGAACGGGACAGAUACGCUGGGUCUCCCUGAAGCAUUGCAUCGUGGUUGGGAUCCCCACAACAGCAUGUUCAGAGCAGAGCAGGAAGUUUCUGGGCCGUCAUAGCUCCCACCGGACUGUGUCCUUUCCCAGAAUGUUAUGUUCUGUUGGUUGGCACAGCUCUCAGUCAUUUUUAGUCUUAUAGCACUGACUACGCAUGUACCUACAGAUGUAUGCUUGUUGGAACCCUAGCAAGGGGAAGCCAGUAACCGUAGUUCUCCAUGCACUGGGCAUCUUUAAGGGAAGGCAUGUGGUGGCAGCGGCCACAGGAGGAUUCUACUGUGGUUUCCUUGCAGACCUUGGCUUCCGAUUGAGACACUGAAGGAGACUGUCUUUCUCUCCCUUUCAAGUGGACUCAGGGGCAUCGUUAGUUAGUAAAGAGGGAGAGUCUCUGGCAGGAUGGAGGGGGUCAGGCCUGAGAAGUCCCCUUUUCAGUUAUCUGAGGUGGGAAGCAGUUUAUUUCCUUCUGUAUUUUCCAGAGCAUCAGGCACGUUAGGCUGGCCCUGUCAGCAUAGGUUCCUGACUAAUCUAUGGAGGUUGCUGAUAAGAUAAUGCCCAGUUUGGUCUAGACCCGGUGUGAGUAUGGGAGUAGGGGAGUGGCUUCCUAGAUAAGCCAUGGAGGGCCGCUCCUGGGUCUUCUGGGUAUUAGCGUUGUUUUUCCAGCACAACUGUGAAAACAGAGCGAUCCCCUUUGCUCCCUCAGCAGAGCCUGCUCCUCGGUCUCUGCCCCUGUCCCCACAGUUCUCGUCCUCCAAGGGUGGCUUGAGGAUUAUGCCCAGCUACGUUAAGCCCCUCAAACAAGCAUGGUUCAUCACCUACAGUUCUCUAUUUUAACUUAAAACCUUCUGCCUUUCUUUAAUCAUUGGUGGGGAUGUAUGUAUAUUGUCUGUUUAGAGGGAGGCGAGUGAACAGGUGGGACCCUGCCAUACCAGGACACUACCCCUGCAGCCAUGCGGCGAGUGUGGCCUGCCGUGCCCUGGCUUCUGAAUUCUCACACGCUGAACUUUUACUGCAUGGACGGUUGACGCGCUGAUCAAUGGAUCCUGGCAGCUAUAAAGAUUUUAUGGCUGUCUGUGACAAUAUGACUCCUAGGCCCCUGGAGGAGUCCAUGCAGACAGGGGCCUCCAGAGGAGGAGUUUUAUUCCUGGGGGGAGGGGGUGCAGCUCCCAGAGGGCAGAUCAAAACCAGGUGAGGGGUCGAGUUACUCACACUGGGGCUUCAUACUGUAGAAGGCAGAAAGGUGCCAGAUGCCCACCAGUGUCCCCAGGCUGAGAGUGCUUAUCUGUUCUCAGUUGUUGGGACAAUUCUAAGGAUAAUUCAACUACCAUUCCUUUGGGGACACUGAUGGCAAAGGUUGGUGGCUUGCCUAACACUUUCUAAUUCUCCUGCUCUCUCUCAGUGUCUGAGAAAGUAGUCCUGGAACUCUGAUCAGGCUGAUGGCCCCCCGUAGAAAAGCAAGACCCAGCUGUGAAUUUAUUUUGUUAGAAACCUCAAUUCUUUUCUGACUGACCCCUGUGAACGCUUGAGGUGUGUACUUAUUUUUGCUCUGAAUUGAAAAACAGUGAUGACUUUGUAAUGUCUGGUUUUUGGUGUGCUGUCUCGACUGGAGGGCAGGGUCGUGAGUGCCAGACACCAGGAAGGAGUGAGAGGUGUGUGUGUUCGAGAGGCACCCUGAGCAUUGCAUCAUGGGAGCUUGCUGGGUUUUCUCUUGGAAACCACAGAGAGAGAUCUUUGAAAAUUAGUCUUUGAGCCGGAAAGGGGCAGCUGAUGUUAUGAGUUUCCAGUGGCCGGUUAGCAUUGCCACAGUCACGGACAUCUCUGUUUGCCUACCCAAAGGCUUACAGCAAAGCAACCCACAAGCCAUGCGUUCUGAGGAGGUUUCCUCUUUGUUCUAUGGAACUCAAGAGUAGAAGACGUAGAAGAAGUGUCCUGUUCAGUAUUAGACGUUGUAAUUGUUGAGACAGCUAAAGUCUGUAAUCAUUAUGUAGCCCAGUCUGGUCCUGAACUCAUGAUCUUCCUGUGUCAGCCUUUCAGGUCCUGGAAUUACAGGUGGGAACCACAGAGCCCCGCUUUGCACCUUCUGGAUCUUUCUGUCUGUGUGUGUUUCUCACACACCUGUACUGUGUGAAUGGUUUUGGUUGAGUAGGGACAUAGUGCUGUGAAUUUUAUGAAUGUAUGUAUGUGGUGUAUGUACGUGUGUAUGUAUGGAUAUGUGUGUAUGUGCAUAUGUAUGUGUGUAUUCAUGUGUGUGUUGCACAUAUGCAUGUGUGUAUGUAUGUGUAUGCACAUAUGUAUGUGUGUAUAUGUGUGUAUGUGUGUAUGUAUGUAUAUAUGUAUGUAUUGAUGUAUGUCACACACCACAUCCAACAGGUAACAUGAUGAACUUCUCUGCAAUGUGGCUCAAGACUCUGUAAUUUAUAGUCAUGCCACCAAUGUUGGGUCAGGGUGUCAAGUCCUAUGGUUCCUCUUGGUGGCAUUCUCUUGGGGAUCCAGCUUGUGCCACAUUAUUCCUGGCUUGCAUGUGGCAUCCUGACUGUGUAUAAAUAACAGGUUCCUUUUGUCUCAUGCUUUGAAAAGAGAGCAGUGAACGAAGAGGUCUGAGCACACUAGAGAAUGUGCAGUGGGCUACUUGGUCCCCAGGCUGAGAGGCUUGCUUGUUAUUUCCUUGUUAUUGUAACCAUCUAGCACAGGGCCUGGCAAGCAGCAGGCAUCUCAUCAGUGCAUGAAUGCUGUGAGGGGAAAAAAAAAAUCACAAUAGGUUCAUCUUGGGAAACAUGUGCCAAACUAUGGGAAUUUAAAUAUUGUGUGUGUGUGUGUGUGUGCGUGCGCGCACACAUGUGCAUAUGUGUGCACAUGCAUGAGUGUAGGUCAAAGGACAUCUUGUGGGAGUCAGUUUUUCCCUUUCCUCAUGCGGGUCCAGAGACUGAACUUAGGCUUGGCAGCAAAUACCUCUAUCAGCUGAGGCAUCUCACCAGCUGAAGAACUUUUAAUGUUCAAAGAUUAUGGGGUGUAAUGUCGGGGACAAUUAAAAUAUGUUACCUUUAUUAACACAUUUGAUCUCUGCAAUAAUCCCUAUAGUAAUUAUAUUCUAAUCUCUGCCUUUUAGGCGGGGAGACUGACUAUAUUUGGGGCUGGAUAGACUGUCUAAGUCGGUGACGGGAAGAAUUGGAUGGCAUCACUCUGCCCAGGGACUGUGCCUUUAACAGCAUCACCCAAAUGCUUUCGAAGUUAGAUACUAUCAACACACAUCUCACUGCCUGUUCAGGGGGAGAAUUACAGGUAAAGAGCAAUUCAUUUAAAAAGUUGGCUUCUACGGAACUCGGGUAGCUCAGUGGUUGAGAGCUGCUCCUGCAGAGGACCCUGGUUGGGGUUUGGGUCCCAGCGCCCACGGAUCUUAUGCCCUCUUCUGGUCUCUGCAGGAACUGCACACAUGUUGUGCACUAACAUACGGACAGGAAAAUACAAUAAAAUAGAGGGAAAAAAAUCAGUCUUUUAAAAAUAGGCUUUUAGUUUCAAGCUCUUUCUAGAUUUGAAGGAAAUGUGUGGAAUUUAGUUUGGCUGUUGGGAAGAGCAGACUUAGUCCGUGGAGCACGCCAAAGCGCCGGAAUCUCGGCUCCAUUAAUUUCCUGUUUCAUGUUCUACACAAAACACUCCUGACUGCUUUGUCCCCAGCCACACAGUCAAUGACAUUGGGUGGUCAGCCUUUGCCCAGAGCCUAACCAAAGAUGUUUCAGAGCCGUUUUGAUUAUGUUUUUUGUGGAGCCCCCCCGGGGGGGUCCCAUGACUGAUUCCCACUUUUAUGUGACGUCUUGAGAGCUGGGUGGGUGUUGAUUUCUAGGUGGUCAGCCUGUAACGUGAUGAGUGAAGACAAAUUCGAAGAUAAAGGAUUGUGAACUUGAGACGUGGCUUCGGUUUCUCAGUCACCCCCUCAGCAUGCUUGUCUCAAACGAAGCAGUGUCAAGAUGUGUGAAUAAAGUGAAUGGCCAAUUCCACAGAGUGUGUAUGGCAGGUGUGUAGACCUCCCCGCGACCCCCGCUCCGGCCCCUGCCUCUCUGUACUUCUUUCUUUCUUAGUAAAAACAAGUGCUUUUAUCACUGUACUUGAAUGCAGGGUGAACUGCUUGAGAGUCUGUCCAGCUCAGGCCUAAGGCUUUGAAAUAUUAAAAGGUCUCAGUGUGAUUAUUUGGGAAAAAGGUGGUUAAGAAAUUGUGGUGGUUUGUAUAUGCUCAGCCCAGGGAGUGGCACUAUUAGAAGGUGUGGCCAUGUUGGAGUAGGUGUGGCCUUGCUGGAGUAGGUGUGGCCUUGUUAGGGUGGGUGUGGCCUUGUUGGAGUAGGCGUGGCUUUGCUGGAGUAGGUGUGGCUUUCUGGAGUAGGUGUGGCCUUGUUGGAGUAGGUGUGGCCUUGUUAGGGUGGGUGUGGCCUUGUUGGAGUAGGCGUGGCUUUGUUGGAGUAGGUGUGGCCUUGUUGGAGUAGGUGUGGCCUUGUUGGAGUAGGUGUGUCACUGUGGGUGUGAGCUUUAAGACCCUCAUCCUAGGGGUUGGGGAUUUAGCUCAGUGGUAGAGCGCUUGCCUAGCAAGGGCAAGGCCCUGGGUUCGUCCUCAGCUAUGGGAGGGUGGGGGGACUUCCUAGCUGCCUGGAAGCCAGUAUUCUACUAGCAGCCUUCAGAUGAAGAUGGAGAACUCUCAGCUCUUCCUGCACCAUGCCUGCCGGGACACUGCCAUGAUCCUGCCUUGAUGAUAAUGAACUGAACCUCUGAACCUGUAAGCCAGCCCCAAAUUAAAUGCUGUCCUUGUAAGAGUUGCCUUGGUCAUGGUGUCUGUUCACAGCAGUCAAACCCUCACUAAGGCAGGAAUAAUUGCCACCGUAUUAAUUGAAUUCCAGCAUUAAUUGAUAUUUAUGGAACAUAAUAAUCACUUAUUCUUCAGUCCUCUGCCUGACCUCACUAUUUGCAUUGCUGAUCCUCAGAACACAUCUGGAAGUCAAGAAAUCUCAGCUUCCCAGCUUUGCUCUUCAGUAUUUUACAAGCUGCCUGAGUCCUUGGUUUGUUCACCUAAGCUUUAAAUAUCCCAAGUUGACUUUCUGAUAUGAGCUGGGAUUGCUCUGAAUGCAUAAGACUAAGUCAGGAGAAUCUUAGACCCCAACAACAUUGUGUGUUCAUUUCCAUGGACUUCUUUUUGGUACAUUCAGCUAGAACUUCCUAGUUUUCUUUGUAUAGGUCUUGCACAUGUUCUAAGUGAUUUAGACUUAAGUCUCUCUCUCUCUCUCUCUCUCUCUCUCUCUCUCUCUCUCUUUCUCUCUCAUCUUAACUGCUAUAGGAAUGUGACUGACUUUCACAUCCUGUAAUCUGUCAGUCCUAGUUUUUUGGUCAUUACUGUUGAUUCUUCUGGGUUUCCUACAGGAUGGUAAUACCAUCAACUCACAAUGAUAGUUUUAUUUGAUGUUGUCUACUUAACCAUGGGUAGGUAUAUCUUGGUACUUUUCUUGUCUUACUGCAUUAGAAUCAAUUCUAGUAAGUUGGAAGUAGUAACAGGGGCUGGAGAGCAGUAAGAACACUGGCUAUUCUGGCAGAGAAUGUGGGUUUGAGUCCUAGCACCUACGUGUCGUCUCCAGGAGAUCCAAUGCUUUGUUCUCACUCCUGUAGACACCAGGCAUGUACAUGGAGCACAGAUGUGCAUGCAAGCAAAGUACAUGGAUAUGUAAAAAUAGGAAAAAUAGUAAUGAGAGGGGGUUGGCCUGUCCGUGUUCUUCACCCUGGUGGGAAAUUGGAGUCACUUGUUAUAAAGUAUGACACAUACAGUAAGCCUUAUGUUAACACUUAAACAGUUCUUGUUUAGCCAUAGAUAGUCUCUAAUGUAUUUUGAUCAUGUCCAUUUGUCCCUCCAUCUCUCCAACUCCUCCUACUGUUCCUCACUGCUUCCUCCCACCAUCACUUCUCUCUUGUUAUUACUAACACCUGUGUCCAAUUAGUGCUGUUCUUGGGGGUGUGGCCAUCAGUUUUUAGUUGGAUGUGGAAAUCCUACCUUUGUCCAUGUCCUCAAAAGAUUCUGUCUGUCUGUCCAUCUGUCUCAACAGCCCAUCUGCUGUCAAUAGCUCUUGCACAGAGGAAGGGGACUCAGAAGACCGGCUUGAUCUUGUGUGGGGCCAGCCGUGGGCAAGGUGAGCCCAGCUGUUGUGAGAUGAAGUUUGCAGAACCACAUUAGGUCCACAGGUCAGCGUUUCACAGCUCCCCGCCUCUGCCAGCUCUCGCAUUUUCUGUCCCCUUUUCUAUGCCCUUCCUGAGCUUGGGGCAGGGCUGUGAUAGAGGUGAAUCAGUCUACAGUGGGUUUCUCAGGGACUCACUGUGAAAGGAGAGUUAGUGGUCUCUCUACCCUCCCUCCCUGAUCUUUACUUCUGCUGGUGCUGACAGAGCCGUUCCUGUACCUGCACCCCCAUCUGCUGCUUUUUAUUUUAAACAGCUUCACUGGGCUACAAUCCACACGGCAUACAUUUUGCCUGUCUAGAAUGGCACAGUUCAGUGGUUUCCUGAAAGCUGUUUUUGUCUCAAAAAGAAACCCCAACCUCUUUAGCUAUGUCCUUUCUACGUUCUCCCUCCCAUUCUAAAGACACUUCUAGUCUCCUUUUGUGUCUGUACACUUCCUUACUAUGGUCAUCUCCCAUGGAGGCAAACAUGUACUGUGUGAUCUUUCAUGAGUCUGUCUUCUUUCAAGUUACAGAAGGUUUCACAACUCAUGGUUCAUUCAUGUGGUUGCAUGCAGCGGUUUCCUUCCUUCCGAAGGCUGGAUGAUACACAUAUCAGGCACAAACAUACCACACCAGGCACAUGCAUCAGGCACACCCAUCAGGCACACCCAUCUGGCACACACACACAGACACACACACACACACACACACACACACCAGGCACACGCACAUGUCAGGCACACACACCAGGCACACAUACCAGACAUCCCUCUUUUCCGAGGUCCUCAUCUUGUAUUUUCUUCUUACUGUGCACUUGAGUGAUGUGCCCAAAGGGCACAAACGAACCAGGAGGAAAUGUCUCUUGUACAAAAGUGCAAUGUAGCAAUGCCUUUCAGCUAGUGUUUAAGAUUGUGUCACGUCUGUUUUCUCUGAUAAAUCCCAUAGAACUGGGACUGGCCUUUUUCAAAUGCCUUAUUGCAUGGGGUGACUUAUUUGGCGUUGGAUUAAUGUCUGAACCUUUUAGUUAAUUAGUGUGAAACACAAGCCACCUUUACGUAAUGAGACUUGACAGUAAAAGGAGAAACCCGAGCAGAUGCUCACCCCUAGAACCUUUGGGGCCCUGCUUCUUUGUCCUUUCUUCAGCUCAGGGUGGCUGACUUCUGUCAAAGGAGUUGUUUCUAUUUCCCAUAAUUAGUCGCUUCAUGCAAACAUCUAAAGAGUCCUAAAUUACGAAUUAACACUGAACAAUUGUACGUCAUCCCAGAAUGAGAUUGUAGUGCACAGUGAUGAUAAAGUUUGGGUUAAAGGAAGCAAGACUAAUAACAAUGGUUAGUAAGGUGACUGGCAUGUCGUAAAAGAAGACAUGACAUGGUCCAGAACCCUCCUGAGGAACCCUUGAGAUCCCUCAAAGACAUGUGAUGUGCACACUGUCCUAAGCUGUCAUUCCAGUGACAUUCUUCCUGGCAGAAAUCUGAGAUUCGUUCUCCUUACACAUCCAUCUUCCCUUUUAAGGCCAUAUUGUAAAAUGAUACUUGUUCAGCCCUGAGUCAGAGCUGAUACAAACAUUUGAUUUGACUGAGCUGAGGCUGGGUGAUUUAGAGAUUCCUACCCCAACCAGGAGUGAGCUAAGACAGUCUUAAUAAUCUCAGAAGGCCAAGAACUUUGUCUGAAUUACUAAAUUCCUGUUGGUUGGGUACAAGAGUGUUUGAUGCCGCAAAUGGAGGGGUCAGAGGACGCCGGACUUCAAGCAAGGCUCCAGAGAGUGACUGUGGAGCUUCGAGUGUCCCGAGUUUUCUCUGUGGGCACAGCACACCACUUAGGUCCUUCUGGUACCUUCACAGUGCCAGCUAGGUGCACAGCAGUCUCUGCUGUGUCUAACAUGUAUCCCUCACUGACUGAAUAAUGCAGGGCAAGUUACUCAUUACCGCUAAGACUGCCUCUCUGUGGAGAUCAACUCUACUCUGUCUUAUGUGUUCAGUGCAAGGAAUAAACAUGAUUUGUGCACCCAGUGUCUACUCCCAAAGCUGGGCAGGUAGGCAUCUCUGCAUGCCCCUCCCUUCCUGCCCUUCUCUCUCCUGCCUCCAUAGGCUCCUCCCCUUUCCUGCCCUUCUCCCUCCUGUCCCCACAGGCUCCGCUCCUUUCCUGCCCUUCUCCCUCCUGUCCCCACAGGCUCCGCCCCUUUCCUGUCCUCCCUCCUUCCUCCACAGGCUCCUUCUUCUUCUCCCUCCUGUUGUUUCUUUCCAGCAGACCUCACUGGUGCCAUCGAGGCCAGCUCUGCACCUAGACCCUGGGGAUCUGCUCCCGUGGAGGAACAGAGAAAGGCCGACAUGAAGUAGAGCUUCUUUCUGGGUCUCACUGGCCUUUGGGGGAAACUGGAUGCGAUCCUAUUCCCUAACUCUGUGCCUCCUUAUCCCUGGCUUCAGCUGUGCUUUCUACCCACUUCCUGGUUACCUUGCAGACCUGUCACUGAGGAGGCACUGAGAAAAAAACACUGGCUGAAUGGAUCUGCACAAUUCAGAUAUAAAGAAAUGCCCACGUCUGCGAAGAACCAGAAAGAGGCAGCUCUAUGGAGCAAUGAAGCGCCAGCCGCUAGUAGAAAUUUAACUGGUUCUCACCCUGGUGAAGAUGCUGGGGGAGGCCAUCCUCCUCCAUGGCUAGUAGCAAUGUGAAUCGUCACCAGGUUUACGGACAAUGAUGCAGCAAGCUCAGGUGAAUUUAGCCAUCAAGGUGGCCCACCUACUGAGAUUAAAAGGUACUUGUACUUUUCAACCCAGGAGGGUAUGCCCACAAAUUUCUUCAAAAACUGAAGUACGCACAUGAAGAUUUAGAUUUACAAGGGUGUUCACUGAGUAUUGUCAGUAAAGGUAAAAAGAAAGUAAAUAAAUGGGAGCUUGCAAAAAGAGCCCCAGGGAGACUGACAGUGGGAUAAUUAGGAGCACUUCCCAGGAUGCACAGUUAGACAUUUGACACAGCAGGCAGAGCCAGCAUUAUCCACAAAGAAUUGAGUGAGAAGAAAGAAGAGCAGAGAAAUCUGUAUAAAAAGACCCAAACUUAGAAAAUAGACAUGGAACAAUAAAAUUCUGUGUCUGUGUGAGAGUGAGUGUACAUGGGAACUGUGUGUGAGUGAAUAUGCACUUGUGCAGGUGUGUGUGUGUACAUGGGUGUACAUGCGUAGUAUCUGUCUGCAUUUAUGUAUGUAUAUGCGCAUGUAUAUGCAUGAGUGUGUAUGCAUGUGUGUGCAUGAGUGACUGUGUAUGUGUAUGUGAAUGCAUGUGUGUAUGCAUGUUCAUGUAGUAUCUGUGUGAGAGUGAGUGUGUGCAUGUACAUGUGUGUGAGUGAAUAUGUGUAUGUACAUGUGUGUGUAUGUAUGUGUGAGCAUGUGCAUGUAGUGUCUGUGCAUGUGUGGGCAUGCAUAUGUGUGAGAACUUACAUAUGUUAUCUGUGUGUGUGCAUGCAUAUGUGUGAGAGCUUGCAUGUGUUAUCUGUGAUGAUGUGAACAGAGACACACAAGGGAAAUGGAUUCAGGAUAUAAUCAUAGGCUAUUUGAGGAGUCAUAAAAAGCAGAAAAUAAGAACAAGCUAGACAUAUUUUCUGUCAAACAUGAUGUGAUUUCAUUUGUGAAAAUUAAUGUGUGUUGCUAUUGUAUAAAACUCUUGCAAAAAGAAGAGCAAGCCGGUAGCUAACAAGGCUGAAAGUUCAUUUAUAAACCUAUAAAACGAGACAUGAGCUGCUGGCCCAGGGCUGGGGUUGGGGCGUGGAUGUAAUAAUGUGAGAGAGUGAGACUGGGGAUGAGCAGGAAUCACUCAACCUUGGCUCCGGUGCCUGUGGGACUCAGCCAGAGACGCCCAGCUCAGACAGGUUGCUCUGACCUCGCCUCUGUUUCACAGCACUUACCUUUCAAGGCAGGCUGAUCGAGGGCCUAGCCAAGGAAGGUAUGGAGUUCUCUUGUCUAGCACAGAAGAUUCCUGGGACUGUCCUCGUGCAUCUAAGAAAAGACCAGGAGUUUACCCUUGCCCAGGAUGUAGAGACCCACGAACAACUUCUCUGCAUAACCCUUUGAAGCAUCUUCUGUUCUACAGGGAGGAGGAGGGAGUGAGGCACACAGCACAGAGUGGUGUAGAUGUUUAAUCAAAAGAGGUGCAGUUGCUGAUAAGAUCAUAGAACAGAACAUUAAUAAAAUACUGUUCUCCCAUGGCUUGGGGGUUCUUUGAUAACCUGGGCUGAAAUGCCAAUGUCCUUUGGACCAUAGCAAUUAUUCAAAUUAAAUCAUUGCUUAUCUUUAAAAGAGAUCCUUGGAAUUCAGAGUGGUGAAUCCUCAGCAGCUCCUACUUAUUCUGACUUCCUCUCAAGACGGACAAGCCAUGUACAGGCCUUGUACGCAUCUGUCUCAACAUGCCUUCCUCUCCCUGCAGACCUUGUAGCUAGAUGGUGCUAUUUUUUUUAUCUUGUUCCCUGGAGGUUAUUAGUUUAUAAAAAGCCUCAUUCUUAGUUUAUAAAAAGCCUCAUCAGUUAUAUAUUCAAACACAAAAUAUUGAUUGAAAAAGGCCUGGUGAGAAUUUCUGAUUUUUGAUUUAUACUAGGUCGCUUGCCAGAUUUUUUUUUAAUGUGUAAGGUUUUGUUUUUUAAAUCUGAGGAUUCUAUGUAGUUAUGACCAGAGAGUAUAAAUAAUAUUGGAAUACCGAGUCCCAGUUUUACAUAGGAAGCUUAUGUCCUUCUGGAAAGUAGGUAGUAGAUCUGUGACAAAGUUGUAUUCUUACAAUUAAUCAAGCUGACAACCCAAGAACCUCCCAAAGACACUGCUAGGUUUGCAGAGACCCAAAGCCCCCAGUUGAGCAGUUCCCCUUCUGAACUGAGAGGCUGCUCAUGCUGUGACUUUCCUCUGGGUUUGGUUUCUUAUUUUUCCACUUUAUGCUUUUGCAGGACAUUGAUUUUAUCUGCGACAGGGUCUAGCUACAGAGCUGGUCACAAAGUUGUGACCCUUCUUCGACCUUCUGAAGUGUAAUAUACUAUUGACAAACUGAUUACUUUUGUUCUUAGACAGUUUUCACAUGUACAUAAUGCAUUCUGUUACUUACCCGGCCCCUUAUCCCUCCUCAUCUGUAUCGGUGCUCUCUCCCAUCACUAUCUGUCCCUUUCUAAGGUUCAGGAAUGUUGGUUUCAUUUUGUGACUGAACUGAGUUUAACUAGGGCCACUUGUGUGACUGCUGGGUUAUGAGUGACAUGGCAACACACUACAAGGAUUCCUGCCCCACCCUGAGUCUAUUAGCACAGCCUCUUCCUCUUAUGGAAGUGUUCUUCUGUGAGAUGCUUUUCAACCUUUCAAACCAAACUUUGACCCAACCUGUUAUAACCAAGUGGAUAAGGUCCCUUGAGGUCAUUGUAGCUGUGUAUUCAUCCUGCUUGUGCUCUGCCUCCAUUGUACCACAUUCCCUACUUUUUGUCUGGGAUCCACUCAUGCCCUCGACUCAGAACAAUGUGGUGUGUUGAAGACCACUUGCUGGAAGCAGAGAGAUGCUGGAAGCAACAACUCUUCCCAAACACGCUGGAAGCAGUGUGUGGCUGUAGAGCAAUAUCUGCUGGGAACUUUGUGUCUUGUUCUGAGCACUGACAUCUGAUGGGAACUUUGUAUCUUGUUCUGAGCACUGUCAUCUGAUAGGAACUUUGUGUCUUGUUCUGAGCACUGAUGUCUGAUGGUAACUUUGUGUCUUGUUCUGAGCACUGUCAUCUGAUGGGAACUUUGUAUCCUGUUCUGAGCACUGACCUCUGAUGGGAACUUUGUGUCUUGUUCUGAGCACUGACCUCUGAUGGUAACUUUGUAUCUUGUUCUGGGCACUGACAUCUGAUGGUAACUUUGUGUCUUGUUCUGGGCAAUGAUAUCUGAUGGUAACUUUGUAUCUUGUUCUGAGCACUGACCUCUGAUGGGAACUUUGUGUCUUGUUCUGAGCACUGACGUCUGAUGGUAACUUUGUGUCUUGUUCUGAGCACUGACAUCUGAUGGUAACUUUGUGUCUUGUUCUGAGCAAUGAUAUCUGAUGGUAACUUUGUAUCUUGUUCUGAGCACUGACCUCUGAUGGUAACUUUGUAUCUUGUUCUGAGCACUGACCUCUGAUGGUAACUUUGUGUCUUGUUCUGAGCACUGACGUCUGAUGGUAACUUUGUGUCUUGUUCUGAGCACUGACAUCUGAUGGUAACUUUGUAUCUUGUUCUGAGCACUGACAUUUGAUGGUAACUUUGUAUCUUGUUCUGAGUCCCUAUGAGAUUCCUGAGAAAAGCUAAGGCAGAAGCUUCCUUGUUACCACAUCUGCUGUGCUGUUCACCGUAGACACAGGACGGCCUCUGCUCAGGAUGACUUUAGACCCAAGCAGCCUCCUUUCUCAGUCCUCCUGCAGUCUUAACCAACCCCACCACAUGGACCUUGUCUUCAGGUCCUGGAAUAAGCAAGGUUGCAUUGGAUUCUAGGUUUGUCUGUGGCUCCCAUCCAGUUCAAUCCUCUAGUUUCUGGAAUAGCCGAGAGGUGUUGGUUGCAGGGCUGCUCAGAGUGGAUCCUGUCUGGACCCUAUCUGAAACACCCUAGCAGGAAGUUGGCUCAAGGGUGGAGGCUCUUGACUAGGCUUGGAUAGCACUCACUUUUUAAAAACAGGAUUAUGUUUUUCCCUUUCUGCUGGGAUUUUUCUUUCCUUCCCUUCCUUGAGAAGGGAUCAUCCCAACCCCCCAUCACAGUAUAAAUUACUUGAGCAGGAUAAAUCAGCAGCAGCCUCCAUGGUUGCAAAGAGCUUUUCAAGAGAAGGAAAGUCAGUUUGACAGGUGAACAUGCUGCCCAAUUAAAGGAUUAGCAUUUUGUCUCCUGCACUCGAAUUAGGAGCUCAGGACUCUAGUGCUGACUUGUUUAUGAUAAAAUUAUUUGUGGUCAUUUUUUCAGGGAAUGUGUGGAGGGUGUCAGUUUUGAUAUUUUAGCCUCAGAGGCAAGUAGAAAAUGACACCCACACGUGAUCAGUGGCACGUACCAGAACUUGUCUCCAGCUCGUCAAAUCCAGGUGUUUUCUGUUUUCCUUCCCUAUGUAAAGCAACCCACUCCCCACUUUGUGGCAGGAACACUCUAGCUUUCACUGAAUCUCAAGGUUUUGUGCAGAUGGACUGGCUGCUCAUGUUGGAGGAUUGUGUUCCUUGUCCCAGCCACUUUGACUGGGUGAUUAGGAGGCUGAUUGGAGGUUUUGGGGUCAGAGGCUGGGGUAAAGGAUUGUGCAGAAGGCCACUUUAUCCAGUUUUCAUGUCUAUCUGUUGCUUUGGAUGCUGCUUUCUGGUUUCCAUGGAAAUAUAGAUGACUGGGAUGGGACCAUCUACACAAGUGACAAGGAAGGCACUUGUCUUGAGAGGAGGCUCAGAUAGAGUCUUCUGCCCUGUGGCCUCUGGGAAGUCAUUUCCUUUUCUGAGUCCUGGGUCAUCGCUUAAGUCCCUGUUGCAGCUGGAAUGCAGCUGACCUAGACUGUGCACCUGUGCUGAGCCCUGUGUUGGUCGACUUUCUGUUACUGUGGCAACUGUCUGGGAUGAGAAAAAAAAUGCACAUCGGGCAAGAAAGCAUCUUCAGUAGCUGGUGUUAGCUAAACUGAAUAGACAUGCAGAAGAGUGAAAUUAAGACUUUGUCUCUGCAAAAGACUCAGGGGCAAGUAGGUGAAGGGUCUUAACACAAGGCUGGAUUGGACACACCAAAUCCGGUCAAGGAGAAAAUAAGGUGUAUGCUUCAAAUUACAGGAACAGAAGAACUUUCUGAACAGGACCCCCAUGAUGCAGACAUUUAGACAGACAACUGGCAAAUGGAACUUUAUCGAACUAGAAAUCUUUGUAUAUCUUUAACUGAGGAGACAGCCUGCAGAAUGAGAAACACUCUUUACCACAUAUACAUCCGACAGAGGGUUAGUGUCUAGAACAUACACAGAACUAAAACAAACAAAUACAGGAAAACAACCCAAUUAAAAAUUGGGGCAUGGAACAAAAGAAAAAAGUCUCGAAAUAAAAAAAAGAUUUAAAUAUUUAAGAAAACUCAAGUUAAGUACUUUGUGAUUUGCUCUUAUCCUAGAACAGCUAAGAUAAAACAAAGCAAACAAAUGACUGCCAGGGUGGUGGCCAUGCCUUUGGUCACAGUGCUAGAAAGGGAGUUGGAGCUCUGAAUUCCAGGGCAGCCAGCGCUGUAUAGUAAGUUCCAAGCCAGCCAGGGCUACAUAGUAAAACCCUUCCUUGAACAACAAGAGACCCCCAAAACAAAUGACAACCAAUGCUGGUGUGGGUGUGGAAAAGGGAGACACUUAUUCAUUGCUGGUGGAAGUUCGAACUGGUGCAGCCACUGUGGAAAUCAGUGUGGGGGUUCCUCAAAACACCCGACUUCGCUCUAUCACAUGAUCCAGGUACAGCACAUGGGCACAUGCCCAGAGGACUCUGUGUACUAAAGGGAGGUCUGGUUCUCCGUGUUCAUUGCCAUAAUACCUGCAGCAGCCGGGGAACCGAGGCAGCUUAGACAUUACCAACUGAAGAAUGGAUAAUGAAAAUGUGGUGCAUACAAACAAGGGCACAUUAUUCGGUGGUAAAGAAAAAUAACAUCAUGAAAUUGUCAGGAAAAGGUGUGAGUGCCAUCGCUCUGAACGAAGUAACCCAGACCCAGGAAAACCAAUACUAAGAAAAACCGAUACUAACAAUACUCUCUCACAGGUGGAUGUGAUCUUUGAAUAUUUACAUGUGCGUGUUUAAAUAGGAGGGCCAACAGAAGGCAGAGAAGGGAGGGCAGGGUGGAAAAGGGAGGGUGGGGACACCCAAGAGUUUUGAAAAUACCAUAGGCAACCUACUACUCUAGUAGAAGCUUCCUAGGUUAUAAGCAUGGGCAAACAUAUACAAAAAGAGUUUAAAUGGAGCUACCCUAUUACAGACAAGCACUUCUUCCCUCAGCCACUGUAGGCUAUUAGACGAAAAUCCCAGAGGCAGGUGUAGAUUAUCUCUUUUCAGGUUGGUGGUCAAUGGUGCCCCACAGACCUCCAAACAAAUAGGCAAUCACCAGAACUUGAUGGAAAGAGCCUAUUGCUGAAAACACCACACCCUCUAGCCAUAAGACCUGAAUGAAGCAGGCUGGAACGGACACUGAAGGUUCAUUCCUACCGGCUAACUUUCAUGGAUGGAAGGCACUAUGUAUGUUAUUGGUGUUAGCAGUGGUCUACUCAGCUGUGAACCCUGUGAGCCGCCUGGCAACAGUGGCACAGGCGUGGGAGUAACCAACCACUUUCUGUUUGUGUUUAAAGCCUUCUCUGUGAGACAGAACUCAUUAUGCUCGUCACUAUGAACUGGGCCAAAGCUCUAUGGGUUAUUAGAUCUUAGGGAGACAACCCAGUUAUUCUGCUAAACUGUCCAAGUUCUGAUCUUUAUAUCCAUAGAUGAGUGCAUCUCUCAGCUCUCACUGGGGAAGCUUCAUCUAGCAGUAGAUGGUGAAAGCUGACUCCUCACGGAUGCCGGGGUGCCACUGCCUGAUUAGGAGUCAGUUAGCGGUAGCUGUGUUACUUGUAUGUAACAUAUAGGAAAACUUAUGUGGUUACGCACUGCCGUUCUGUGCUUCGGAAUCUCUCUUCUAUGUUCAGAGACAUUGUCUGUCAUACUAGUCCCAGGGUGACAAACUGGGUGCAAAUUACAGGUACUGGUUGAUUUUCUGUCGGCAAAUCCACUGUCUGGCUUGUAAAGGUUCCGAGAUUCACACAAAGAUUACUUCCUAUAAUAAUCCUCCUCUGGACUGAAGAGUAGCUGUGUUUUGACAUUUGUGCUUACUCACUUCUUGGAUGGGGAGCUUGGAGUUGUCCUCACUCCUGCUCUUACUGGGGUGUGACUCUGAGAACUCACUGAAAGCCCUGUUUGUGGCGAUCCCCAUGCAUUAAAUGGGGACAGCAGAAACACCCACCUUACCUAGUUGUCAUGAGGAUAUGCAAAGACUUGGGAUGGCAGCUGGCAUAGAGCACCAGGCAUGGCUAUCACGAGCAUCUGAGUAAGUGUGCCUGUCUGUGCUUGUGUAUGGUUGAGCAGUGUGGAGAAGAUGUCAGAGGAUGUGCAGACCCUCACCAACACUAACUACUUAGUGUCAAGUACAGGCAGGAAGCUCGGAACUUGGUAAGGGUGGGAGGGGAAAAUGAGAGGUGUAUCCCAAACUCCUCGACACUGCAUGCGGGAUUACUGAAACCCUGUGUGUGUGAGAUGGCUGGUCUUGGCUGUCAAACUAGCACACUGGAGGAAAGGGAAACCUCAUUUGACGGAUUUGCCUCCAUCAGAUUGGCCUGUGCGCAUGUCUGUGGGGGCAUUCACUUGAUUACUAACUGAUGUAGGAGGGUCCAGCCCACUGUGAGCGGUUCUAGUCCUAGGCAAAUGGUCUUAGCCGCAUAAGAAAAGUAGUCCCACAUGAUCUUGAAGGUAAGCCAGUAAGCAGGAUCUCGUCUUCCAUGACUCUAUUUUGGUUUCGGCCUUGAGUUCCUGCCCUGACUUCUCUCAGUGCAGGAGUGUGACCUGGGAGCCAUAAGCUGGCCCUUUCCUCCACAAGUAGCUUAGGGGUCAUGAUCUUUAUUACAGAGUCCACAGUGGGAAAUAAAACUACAAAGAUGUGUCAGGAAGCGUUGGCCACAGAAGUCCCAGCAGUGGUGACUCCUCAAAGUUUAGAGGACCCACAAGAUAACAUGAAAGAGUUUGUUUUUAUCUGAGGUGAAGUAAACAAGAGGGAACAAAGCCCCGUUUCCAGCCGCGGGGACGGCAGUUCAAGGUUUAUACUGGCUCCAUUUUCCUCUGUACUGUAGCUCACGCUGUGGUGAAAUGGUUACUACCUUUUAGUUGAUGCGAAAUGACCUGUGUGUAUUGAUGAAAAACUGUUUAUAUGACGGCAAACGCACGCACGCACGCACGCACGCACGCACGCACGCACGCACGCACGCACGCACGCACGCACGCACACACACACACACAGACACACACACACACUUGCAGCUGACUAGUGUGUAUAUAAAAUUACUGCUGUGAGUUACAGAAAAUGUCCCAGCAUGAGGCUGAGGCCUGCAGGCACCGGCUUGGCAGGUUGCCUCCUGUUCUCUGUCCAGACAGAUGGAGGCAGGAAGGAUUAAUUUUGAUGGUGCCCUCUACAUAUCUGAGUGAUUUCUUCUGAUGGCUGACAGUUCUAGGUGCAACCAUUUGCAGUCCUGAAAUUUUGGCAGUGGUUUUGUUUUGGAAGCUUUAAGAAACCAAGUAUUUGCAGGAAGGCUCUUUUGUGCCUUGUUUACGUCAAGGUAGAGAUUUUUUGGAGAGUCAUCCACCCAGAGGGGAGCUUAGACUUUCAAAGAGUCCCUCCUUAGCAACAAGGAACAAAACGAUACAAAAUGUGACCUUCCAAUUAAUUAGGAGAAUAAAAUCUGUGGGUAACUGUGGAUCCACAGUCUUACAGAGAGGGUGUGGGGUGAAUCUUUGUUUCCAAUAUCUCCCUUCAGCCCCACGUACUGAGGAACUGCCUGCUCCGCUCCCGAGAACUUCUCAGAGUAGUGGGUCUAAAACAUGCAAAUAUCCCCCUAGGAGAAGUUGAGUGAAGACAGCUAUUAGACAUCUGUACUGUGGAGAACAGAAUGUAGAGAAAGGGGAUUGUGAAUCCGAAGACAGAAGAGGGGACCGCUCUAAGGGCAGAUGCUGGCUGGGAGAGAGAUUAAGCCUGGAGUCUUGCCAGAGCAGACCAUAAAAAGACACCAGGCCUCUGCAGUGACACACAAAGGGAUUUUAUCAAUCAGCUUCUCUUGGUUUCGAGUGACAGAACACUCAAUUCAUUCAGGCCAAAGGGGAAAGGAGACGCUAAUGAUUCCUAACUGAAAAGGUUCAUGGUAGAUUGGGGUCGAGUUUCAGGCAUAGUUUGAUCCAGGGGUCAAAAGAUACUCUCAGGGCUGGGGAUUUAGCUCAGUGGUAGAGCGCUUACCUAGGACCCUGGGUUCGGUCCCCAGCUCCGGAAAAAAAGAAGCAAAAAAAAAAAAAAAUACUCUCAAACCUGUUUUUCUCUGCAUUCAGAUCAACCGUUCUCAACUUGUCAUUUAUGGCCCCCUUGGCCCAUCUCUGUCUUCAAAAAUAUAUUAUGAUUCAUAACGGUAGCAAAAUCACAGUUAUGAAGUAGCAACAGAAGUAAUUUUACCUUUGGGGUGUCAGCACAACCGGAGGAACUGUUUUAAAUGGUCACAGCAUAGGAAUGUUGAGAACCGCUAGGUCAGAUGGACUCUUCUCUCUCUGGGGUCCCGUCUUAGUCAGGGUUUGUACAAAACAUCAUGACCAAGAAGCAAGCUGGGGAGGAAAGGGUUUAUUCAGUUUACAUUCCACAUUGCUGUUCAUCACCAAAGGAAGUCAGGACUGGAACUCAAGCAGGUCAGAAAGCAGGAGCUGAUGCAGAGGCCAUGGAGGGAUGUUUUCUACUGGCUUGCUUCCACUGGCUUGCUCAGCUUGCUUUCUUAUAGAACCCAAGACCACCAGCCCAGGGACAGCACCGCCCACAAUGGGCUGGGCCCUCCCCCCUUGAUCACUAAUUGAGAAAAUGCCUUAUAGCUGGGUCUCAUGGAGGCAUUUCCUCAAGGGACGCUCCUUUCUCUGUGAUAACUCCAGCUUGUGUCAAGUUGUGUCAAAACCAGCCAGUACAGGUCCCUUUCAACAGGACACCCCAUCCUAUGACUUUCCACAAUCACUAUAAAAUUUCUUCUUUGCCCUAGGUGCUGCAAGAAAAAUUCGUGGCAUAAGCUCUGAUUGACCAUGGGCUACAGGGGUGGCCUCCUGAGGGAGCAGUGGGGCCGAGCUGGGGUAGGAUGGGAUGGGGUGAGUCAGCUCCAGGGGUAACACUUUUUGAGGAAGUGGGCCCAGUGUUUGGAGAAGAGAUAAAAUCGGAUGAUGGAGAUGUAGUCAGCUUCUGUCCUCCAUAGCCUUGGCCAAGAUCAGCUCAGACUGGAUUGUGAAACUAAGCUGCUGGGUCCCAAGCGGGUCUAAAGAGCUUUGGUGGAGAAGGAGUUCACACCGGAUAUAUGGGGCCCAGCACAUGCAAAAAUGACCAGCUUUGUGACAUCUAGUUACAUAACAGAAAUGUGUGCAUGCAUGUAUGCAUGUAUGUGUGUAUUGUGUGCAUGCAUGUAUGCAUGUAUAUAUGUGUAUAUGUAUAUGCAUGUAUGCAUGUAUAUAUGUAUAUGUGUAUAUGCCUGUAUGCGUGUAUGUAUGUGCAUGCAUGUGUCUAUGUUUGUAUAUGUAUGCGGGUAUGUAUUUGUGUAUGCAUGUAUAUAUGUGCAUGUAUGUGGAUAUGCAUGCAUAUGUGUAUGCAUGUGUGUAUAUGUAUGUGUGUAUUCAUGUGUGUGUAUGUGUGUAGGUCUAUGUAUGUGUAUAUGCAUGUAUGCAUAUAUGUGUGCAUAUCCAUGUAUGUGUAUAUGCAUGUGUGUAUGUGUGUAUGUGCCUGCCUAUCUAUGUCUACAUGUCUCUGUAUGUCUGUGUAACUAUACAGAGAUGCCCCAAGCUGGGCAGAUGAGUAGUGAGCAUGAUUAUCACAGUUUGCCUGUUCACCUUCAGUCCAGUGUUCAGUGCUUUACUAGAAAUAUUCGACACUCAUAUUGGCUUUGUGUGAGAUGACUCCAUUCAACUGUGAGUGGGAGGUGGGGUGCAUGAGGGUCAACCCACUGUUAGUUGAAACCAUUUAAGCUGAAACUGCAUUCUGGUUGAGCAUGGUGGCACAUGCCUUAGCAGCGCUUGGGCAGCUGAGGUAGAAGACGUGAGUUUGAGGCCAGCUUGAGCUGCACAGCUAGACUGUGCCAGAAAGUGGGGUGGGGGAGACAGAGAGACUGGCAGAGAGUUAUAGAGACAGAGAGAUGGUGUAGUUAAAAAUUAGUAUUAAUUGGGGGUUUCUACCUCACCUUACAUAAUUUAGUUCCCAGAUAAAAGACAUGAAACUUUUAUAAUUAUAAUAAGCCUUAGACAGUACCAGAGAUGGGCAGAUAUCUACCCUCUAAGCUGUUUUGUCCACUUCCCUGCUAAUAACCUGAAGAUAUGACUGGGCCACUCUUACUCAUACUGGCCAGCCCUCAAGGCCAGUUCACAAGAUCCCUUCCCCCAUGGCAUCUUCUCCUCACUUUCUCUUUCCUUUCCUCAUCCUCAUGGUCCCUGAUUCAAGACCACAAGCCACAGGAAUCGAAGCUCAACCUGCCUCUUUUCUGCCCAACUAUAGGCUGGGGACAUCUUUAUUCAGCUAAUAGUUUUAAAUUAAGGAGCAAGGUUACAGAGUGUACCAGGAUUGCCUCAUCCCCGAGGCAAUGCUUGGGGGCCAGUAUUUAGCAUUACAAUAUAUAGCAACACACCAAACCUCAACACAGACACACAGACAAACAUAUAACACACACACACACACACACACACACACACACACACACAGAGAGAGAGAGAGAGAGAGAGAGAGAGAGAGAGAGAGAGAGAGAGAGAGAGAGAGAGUCUACAUUGAGAAAGAGACAGGCCUAGUUCACAGAACCUAGCAGCCUAGCUUGGCCUGCCUUAAACAAGCAAAAGUACAUGUGCACGUGAGACGGACACUAUAGAUGUAACUGAAUUACUGGAGAUUGAGCUCUCACUCCAGGCUAAUCCUUCAGCAUUCUAGAAUCUCUCUCUCUCUCUCUCUCUCUCUCUCUCUCUCUCUCUCUCUCUCUCUCUCUGGCAUGUGUAGGUGCACAUAUGCAUCUUUGUAUUGGGGGCAAGUGAACCAUGCCACCAGACAGAAGAGCUGUAAGGUUGAGUGAGCCUAAAUCCCGGGAAACUCAGAAUUGAGGACAGUAGGAGUGGGGCUUGGAACUUGUAACCAUGACACCCCACUGAGAGGACCAUGGCAAUCAGUCACAUAGAGAAAACACCUGGAGUCCUUCCCCUGGCAAAUAGAGUGUAUCUAGCAUCUCAAACUCAGCCAAUGGGCAGCAUCUUCCCCUGGAUCCUACCCUGCCCCUCGAUGUUUCUAAAGUCUGUAUUCACGUGGGAAAAGGUGCUAUUCCCUGAGAAUCAUCUGAGAGUGACUGUUUUAUUAAGUUGUAACACUUUGGGGCAGAGUUUUCUCUCCCAAAACAUUCCUUGCUGGACCUUGGACCCACCUGGCAGGCUGGGCUCCUGCCCUGCCUCCCCUGCUGUGGUUACCACUGCCCACUGCUGCCCACCAACCCUGCUACUGGCAUUGGCACUGCCGUGGUAUCGGGUGAGACCUGGGACCCCAGAUACCUGCCCUGAGUGGGCUUCCCUUCUGAGAGCUUUAACACUUUAGCUGUUUCCAGCUGGGCCAGAGACUUGAGGAAGCUAUUUGUACCGGUUCAGCAGGGGACAACAGUCUAUGUGCAUUCAUAUGUGUAUAUGUGAGGGUGUGUGUGUGUGGUGUAUGUGUGUAUGCAUCUAUAUGUGCAUGACACAUGUUUAUAUAUGUUCAUACACGUGUGGUGUGGUGUGUGUUUCCAUGCAUGUGCCUGUGGAUGCUGAAGACCAAGGCCAGCCAUCCUUCUCUUUGAUUCCGAUCUUUGCUUUAUUUUUCUCGGAAGUUCCCUUGCCAUUUGGUUUUGUCUGGAUGCACAGCCCAGAUAGUUUUCCAAGUCCUAUGGAGCUGGGUUGCAGACCUAUGCCAUGCGGCCUGCCUUCUGUGUUGGUGUUGAGUAUGUGAAUCACGACCUUCAUGUUUGCGCUGUGAGUACUUUACACACGAGGCCAUUCCCCGAGUCCCAGGUUUAAGCAGUACUCUGGCAAUCCUCGUAUAAAGUAGCUGGAAACGUACUUGGUGGUAGAGAACUUGCAUGGUGUUCGCAGGCCCUGGAUCUGCUGCACAACACAAAAGUGAUGGUAAAAGUGCAAAAACAAUAGCAAAACCCCAACCAAACAAGGGAUGCACAGAAUCCAAGCCAAACCAAAGACAUGCAUAGAGUCCAACAUUGGGAGGCUUUAGACAUUCCAAAGAGCAUACUUGUUAGACCCGGAAGUAGUGUCUGACGUCAGAGGCCUGUGCUAUGCUCACCGUCAUUGGUCAUUUCCUUCCUGGUGGAUGGGCUGCUGGUUCCUUACCUCCCCUGCCUUUGGAGGUUGAAGACACGGAGAGGAAUCUGCUCUCACGUUUCCUACAGAGACUUUGGUUCCUUAGCUACUUCCUUUCAUGCCCUGCCUCCCUACCACCAUGUCCUCUCCCUUGACGGGGAGGGCUGUGCCGUCAUUUUCAGCUGACACCAGUCCUGUGGGAAUGGUUGAGAAGGCCACCUUCAUUGAAGUCAUUAAGGAAAUACGAUCCAGAGCACAGAGUGGUCCAGCCCAGCACGUUGCACAGGCUGGCUUGUAAAAGUGACAGGCAACGAGGGGCGGAGCCCAGGGAGCCUGAGUCUAAGAACACAGGUCAGCCUCUUGCCCAUCCUGGAUUCGCAGUUUUCCCACGACAAGCUUGGUAUUUGAACACGGGCAGCACCAAGAGUCUAGAUUUGUUUAACUCUGAACGGUUGGUCCUCAGCUUGUCUGACAAUGUUCUUCAGGGGUCGCAGUGCUCUGAAAACAACUUCCUCUCCUAGGUGGUAGAUGAGAGCUAGAUGCAGAUUUAAGCUCAGGAAUGGAGUUUACCAUGUGUAUCUGUCAGUGACUCUGAUCAGAGACUGCUAAGGAGACCCAAGAUGAUGGCUGGAUUCCUCAGAACCCAGGGGAGCCUUGAUAUUAAUGAUUCUUUUUUUUUUUAAGAUUUACUUAUUAUAUAUGAGUACACUGUAGCUGUCUUCAGACACACCAGAAGAAGGCAUCACAUCCCAUUACAGAUGGUUGUGAGCCACCAUGUGAUUGCUAGGAUUUGAAUUCAGGACCUCUGGAAGAGCAGUCAGUGCUCUUAACCACUGAGCCAUCUCUCCAGCCCCGAAGUUAAUAAUCCUUAAGACGGCAUGCUGAGCAAGGCUGCAGAGGUGCAUAGGUAGAGUGGCCUUGCUUGUGUUCCCAGACCUCUCUCUGCCUGCCGUCCCCAAGGAAGCUGAAGAGCGGUGUGUGGCUAACAGAAUGUAAGUAGUUUGCUGUUACUCUUCAGCCUGACGAUUAAUGAAAGGGCUGUACAUGUGUGUGUGGGUGUGCAUGCAUGUGCAUGUGUGUGCAUGUGUGUGUAUGAUGGCUUACCAUGGAAUGAAGUCAGAUCUUCAUGGCAGAACAAUCCACAGCUGAAAAAUGUAGGAUGAUGUCAUCACGCAGGUGUAGGCAGGUACAAGAUAGAAAGAGGCCUGUCAUUGGACGAGAAGGAAGGAUGGGUGGGAGGAAAAUUUUAGAAAGAGGAGAAGGCUGAAGCAAGGCAGAGAGGAAGCCACGGAGAGAACAUGGAGACAGAUGUUAAGAUUCCUCUCUGCACAUUUACAAGUUGUUAUUGAAUGUUCUUAAAGGAUGGAUGUGUUGUAUGUCUAGGUGGGCAAUUAUAUUUUAUCAAUUGGAUCACAGGUUAUUGUGUUGUGUGUUCUUUCAUGUGGUGAUUUAAGUCUAUGAGAGUAUGUGGUGGUGGAGACACUAGGCCGCCACAGAAUUGGGAUGUGUAUGUCUGACAUGGUGGCAACCUGCCUUGGGAACUAGAUGGGUAGAGAGAUUGUUACCAGGCUCAGAGAGAAGCCUUCGGCAGUGUGAUAUGGGAUGGAGCAGAGCGGGUGAGACGCUUUGUUGACUGAGAUUAAGCUAUCUACCAGAUAUCUUGGGGCACUACUAGUGCAGGGUAAAAGACACAUCUUCUUCUUCUUCUUCUUCUUCUUCUUCUUCUUCUUCUUCUUCUUCUUCUUCUUCUUCUUCUUCUUCUUCUUCUUCUUCUUCUUCUUCUCUUCCUUCUCCUUCUCCCUCUCCCUCUCCCUCUUCCUCCUCUUCUUCUUUCUUCUUCCUUCUUUCUUCUUCUUCUUCCUUCUUUCUUCUUCUUCUUCUUCUUCUUCUUCUUCUUCUUCUUCUUCUUCUUCUUCUUCUUCUUCUUCUUCUUCUUCUUCUCCUCCUCCUCCUCCUCCUCCUCCUCCUCCUUCUCCUCCUUCUCCCUCUCCCUCUCCCUCUUCCUCUUCCUCCUCCUCCUCUUCUUCUUUCUUCUUUCUUCUUCCUCCUCCUCCUCCUCCUCCUCCUCCUCCUCCUCCUCCUUCUUCUUCUUCUUCUUCUUCUUCUUCUUCUUCUUUUUUAUAAUUUUACAGCAACAGAAAGACUCUAAACUAGAAUAGCUAAUGGUGCCAGCCCCUCCUCGGGUCUCCUCGUGUCAGCUGUGUCCGUUUCUCCUCUUUGUCUGCUGUCCGUGCCAGAUACCAACAGCCCACAUGUGGUCUGUAGUCGAAUGCCUCUGCAGACUGCUGUGUUGAACUUCCUGUGGAUUGCUUUCAGGCACGAGUAUCCGUAGCCCAAGUGUCCGAUGGCUCGGAUGGAGAUUUAGGGAGUAUGUGCCACAGGGUAGUGGAGGAAAUCUGAGAUCAGAGGCAAUGAUCGAUAGGUUGGGGUUCCUGGUAGGCAGAGCCCUCAGUGGAACGUGGUGUGUGGGAUAUUUAUUAUGGAGUGCCCUUGAGCGAGGAGAAGCCACAGGGAAGAACAUAUUUAUUUCUACAGAGGCUUUGGGGAUAAAAGGGUGCUUCAGAUUCUGAGGCUGAGGUGGAGUAGUGACUGGCUGUGGCUGCCUCAGGAAGGGCCUCUGGCCUCCUGUAGCUGGCUUAGCCUGGAAAGGGGCUGGCAGUAGAGGUUUCAUGCUGGUAGAUAACCCAGGAGCAGAGUGGGGCAGCUUGAACGAGAAUAUGCUCCAAGGGUUCAGACACUGGAGGAUGUGGUGUUCUCGGUGCUAGUGUUGUUUGGGUAGUUUUAGGUGUGGUCUUGUUGGAGGAAGCAAGUCACUAAAGGUGGGCUUUGAGGACUUAAAGACUCAUGCUGUUCCCAAUUUGUUCUGUUUCCUGCCUCUGGUUUGAGGUGUGAGCUCUCAGCUGUUCCUGCCACCAUGGCUGCUGCCAGGUGCGCUUUGAACCAUAAAGCCAGAUACAUUGUUUCUUUUGUAAGUUACCUCGAUCAUGGUCUUAUCACAGUGGUAUGAAAGUAACUAACACCCCAGGACAGGUGGUCUGUCAGUGGAGGGGCCUGGCUGACAUCUUUGUAUGUGCUGUACUUGGUGUUUUAGGGGUCAGUAACACACUCCUUCAAGAAGGGCACCGUGACCUUGUAUCACUGCCCAGUGUCGUACACCCCGCCUGUUCCUCUCUUCCUUAGCUUGUAAAUUGUAGUCAGUUUUCAUCCUUCCCAGGGUGUUUCCCUCCAGCUCCUAGCAAAGAGAGCACAGGAUGCUCGCACCUGUAUCAGCUUUUGGCAGUCUUACACACAUGGGAGCUGGUUGGAGUACCAGGCAAACAUCUACACUCUUUCUUGUGUCCCUGGCAGCAUACACAAUGCUGGUGCCUCUCUGUGUUAAAAACUCGUCACCCAUUCUGUAUAUUUUAGCCUCCUCCAAAGAGAAUGAUCAGAAAUAAGGUGAAUCACACAGGAGCCAUGUCAUGACCUCUGAGGCCUGGCCAUCUCUUCUCCCUGGAGGCAGCCCCCAUAACAUUCAAGGGUCUUUUGAAGAGUUGUUACUUCCAUUGCUUUGUUCCUAGACGUUGGCCCUUCUUGGGAUGGAGGGUGUCUAUUCGUUAAGGGCCAUGUGGCUGAACUCAAUGUCAUGUCCUGUUUUCCCAAGGCAUAUCAGGAAACAUCUGUACCUCCGACUUGUGGGUCUGUGGGGAAUGGUCUCUGGGCAGAGUGGCUUUGGCCGUGGCAGUGACCGGAUGGGAGACGGCAGCUGCACUGCAUUUGCUAAGGGUUAGUUGGAAUUCACUGGAAAUCAGAUCUGAUGGGGGUCUUGGUUCUGACGAUGACACUAAUUCCGUCUGAUCAGAUUUCCUGCUGGUCUGGCUGGUUGCUAAGCCCCUUGUCCUGUUAUUCCCUUCAGAUCAAUUUGAAGGGGGGGAUGCUUCAUGGCUAAUCCUUGAACAUUGACCAUCUGUGUGCAUAAAGGCCUCUCCAUUGAAACACAUUGUUUGCUGUGGGAUUUUUGGAUGGUUCUGAGGUAAUUUGUAAGGAAUCAGGAAGAGCCCGCCUCUGACUUAAACACAGAGAAACCUCUGAGAAUCUUCCCAAGUUCCCCAAGGAAAACACAAUCUCAGUUUGUUUUCACAUGGUUGUAGGGAGUCCUUUCCUUGUAGAGUCUUCAAUGUCACUGUUGGUCACCUUACAGGAACAAAGAGUGUGUGGAAAGGAAGACUCCUUUCCAGUUGGUUGGAACAGAUGUUAAUUGCUGCUUCUAGGGUUCUCUGGUUUUUCUGUUGUGUCAACCACCAUGCAAUGUGAGUUAAAUACAAAGCUGUAAUUUGAACCCUUUUUUGAGGGAAAAAUUGGGCAACUCUUUAUAUAAACAGAAGCAGGAGGUGCUGGGGUGCAGAGGGAUGUGAGCUGUAAGGAGGCCUGGGUUGCUUUUCUUUUCAUUGAAAAUUGUUAGGAACGCUUGGUCUUUUAUUCCAGGUGGUGAUUGAGGUAUAUGUAUGUAGUGUGUAUGCAUGUGUGUGUAUGUAAGUGUCUGUGUAUGUUUGUAUGUGCAUGGGUGUAUGUGUGCAUGUAUGCAUGAAUGUGUGUGCUGCAUGUGUGUGUGCACAUGCGCAUGUGUGCAGUAUAUAUGUAUAUAUGUGCAUAUGCAUGUAUGUGUGUACAUGUGUGUAUGUGCACAUAUGUGUUAUGUGUGUGUAUGCAUGUAUGCAUGUAUGUAUGUGUUCAUGCACGUGUAGAUAGUUCUCAGUUUCAGGAAAGCACUGAUGGAAAUGACAUAUAUUUUUGAUUACAGUGGUCUUUGACAGGAGGAGGAAUUUUGUGUACGUAUAUGUUUACUUCAAGAGGCUAUUUACAAUUAAAAACUAUAUUCAUUUUAUUUAACAUGUAUGAGUGUUUUGUAUGUUUAUGUAUGUAUAUAUGUAUAUAUGCAUGUUGUAUGCAUGCAUGCAUCUACGUAUGUGUGUAUAUAUGUGUGUCCAUGCGUGCAUGCCUCUUGCAGGUCUAGCCUUCUCUCUUAUCAAUAUUCUUCAUCAAAACAAUUCACUGUUACCUCCUACCAUACAUUGUCAUGCCAUCACUGCUGAAGGUAGGGUUCACUUUUAAUCCCUUAUGUCUUAUAGGCUUUGUAACUGCCUGAUGCUCCAACACCCCACCAUUGUGGUACUUACAGAGAAGGAUCCUCUCUGCCUUGGCCACCCCUCCAUCCCUCUCAUCUAACCUCUGUCAGCCUCUGAGCUGUGUACUGUUCCUGUACUUUUGCCUUGUCUGGGGUGUUCUAGAAUGUGGUCCUGCAGAACGCCAACUCUUCAUAGUGUGCCCAGUGUAACUGGCUUGUGAGUAUCCUCCAUGUCCUUUCACGACUUGAUAGCUCAUUUCUUCUUAGCAGGGAUAAGAUUCACUGCCUAGAUGCAUUUAUUCCGGUUUUUGUCUAUUUACCCACGGAAAGAUAUUUUUAUCCUUUCCAAACUUGUGUUUGCAUAAUUUAUCUCUGGAUUUCUAGUCUGGUAAAUUACUUUGCUACUGCCCAUAAACCCACAUCUCCCAGAAAUAAUGAGCUGGCAUCAGUUGCUUGGGAAUAAUAACUGGAGUUGAUGUGGCACCAAGCAUCAAGUGUCCAGGUUGCUCCUGCUCUCAAGUUCUCUGCCUGAGGCGUCUGCCCGAAGGUUCCAUUUCUCCAAGGUAAUGAGAGCUGUGGACCGUGAGUGCUUCAUCCAGCCUGAGAGGUCAAAAUGCUUCCAGAAACUUGGGUGGUGGCCAUGGAGGUGGUUUUGUUGGCAAUGACAAUUUUGGUGGAGGAGGAAACUUCAGUGGUUUUGGUGGCUUUGGUGGCAGACAUGAUGGUGGUGGAUACGGUGGCAGGGGGAUGGCUAUAAUGGGUUUGGUAAUGAUGGAAGGAAGUUUGGAGGUGGCAGAAGCUAUAAUGAUUUUGGCAAUUGCAACAAGCAGUCUUCAAACUUUGGAUGAAUGAAUGAGGAAACUUUGGAGGCAGGGGGUCUGGCCCUUAAGGUGGUGGAGGCCAGUACUUUGCUAAACCAGAAAACAAGGUGGCUAUGAGGGUUGUGGUAGCAAUGGUAGCUGUGACAGUGGCAGGAGGUUCUAAUUACAGCCAGGAAGCAAAGUUUAGCAGGAGAGGAGAGCCAGAGAAGUGACAGGGAUGUCACAGGUUACAGCAGAUUUGUGAGCUCAGCCAAGCACAGUGGAAGCAGGGCCUAGCUGCUACAAAGAAGACAUGUUUUUAGACAACACUUGUGUGUGUGGGCAAAAACUCCAGGACUGUAUCUGUGACUAAUUAUAUAAUGGGUCAUCUUAGUUUCUGUCCUGUGGAAAGUGUAAAGCAUUCCAACAAAGGGUUUUACUGUAGACCUUUCCACCCGCGCUGUUGAUCGCUAAAUGUAGUAGUCUGAUCAUGAUGCUGAAUAGAUGUGCCUUUUUAAAAUUAUUAUUAAAAAUGUGCUGUGUAAAGUUAGUCUACUCUGAGGCCAUCUUGGUAAACUCCCCCAACUGUGGGAUGUUAGAAUUCCUUCAAGGUGGUGCCAAGUUCCAUUUGGAAUUUAUCUAUGGUUGCUUGAGUGGAGAAGCUAUUGUCUUAAAAAAAAAUCUUAGUGCAGUUAAACUGCUAGUUACUGUUGUAACUUAGAUGAGUUUCCCAUUGAAAGGGCCAUGCAAGCAAGGUUACAAUUUGGUUAUAAAGUAGUUCUUGGCACAUCCUGUGUAACAUCAAAAUUGAAUAUCAGAUUGAGUAUCAGAUAUAAUAACAGAUGGGAAUGUAAUUUGUGUAUCCAUCUAUUAUCAUGUGUAAUCAAUAAAUAAUUUAAUUCUCUUACAAAAAAAGACUGGAAGGAAGGGCUGCACUAUCAGAGUCCAGGGCUCAGUGGUCAUGUGAUACAACUGUCUAAAGCACUCAGGUGUGGAUAUUACCAGUCCCAUUUCAUGGUAGGGGAAACCAAGGUUCAGAAAAAUUUGUGCCUUGCAAAGAAUUGUAAUUCAGUGAAGAGUGAAGUGGAAACUGAAGGGUUCUUCGGAAAGUCGGUUGUGUGGUGUUUUGCUGGGCAAACACGUGAAGGAACUUUUCAUUAGAGUGGACACAGGUGAAAGGCUAAGACCGACUUGUGAAGGAACAUUUAGCUGAAGCAGACACAGGAGAGAGGAGGUUCUGCUAAAGCAAACACGUGAAAGGACACGUGGUGAAGGAUUCCUUGCUAAUGACACGCACGUAUUGGUCCUCCUUACAUUGUGUAGCUGAGCUGUAUUUGUCAGAAUUCCACAGAGAGAAACUCGCCAAGAACCUGUGCUGCAGUCUGUUGCCGCUUCUGAGGACUCGGGCUGAUUGGAUGCACGUGCUGAGGUGAGACCCGCUUGAGGCAAGGCAUGUGGAGGACACGUGAUGUUUGCAGGGGAUAAUUAGGACUCCACGGAGUGAUGGAGGCAGAGCUCGGCUUGCUGGUACAGCUGGCUGUGCGAUGCUUGUGGGCCUCACACCUUCCCUGGUCUUCACUUCCCUGGGAGAGGCACAGCUGAGAACUUCUCCUGCUGUCCCUCCUGCUGACUGGAGCAGAGGCUGAGGCCUGGCUGUCUCUGCUAGGUUGGGUCACUGCUGUUGCUAACCCAAUUCUAUGGAACCAGACUGCUGGUGCAUCCGCAAGGUAUUUGUGAAUGGAUCGAGCUGCCGCUGCCUGCUAACCUGUGAACUGGACUGCCAAUUUCCAGACAGCACAGACAGGUUGCUCCAAAGAACCUUUCCAAACAGGUCCACUCACCCCCAAACUCCCAGUUUCCUUUCUUUUUCACUACUUCUGGCGGGUGGUGGGUUACCAGGAAAGUUAAAGAACCAUCAUUAAAGAUAAGAUUUAAAAAAAUUAAAGUUACAGAAGACUGUCGGAGCCAGGCUGCUAAGCUAGUAUAACUCCAAAACGGUUAUAAUCCAUUUUUCUUUGGUUGCCAUAACAAUGCCCGAGACUGGGUAGUUGAUAAAGAAAAUAACUAGUUUUGUAGGUUGGGGAAAGCAAGAGCAAUAGUGUCGGUACCUAUGUGGCAUCUGCUGAGGGUCUCUUGCUGGGCCGUUAUAUAGUGGAGGGCCUUACACGGAAGGUGCUGCACAAGAGCUGCUGUAGAUCCCCCACCCAUUUACUUCGUGUGUGUGUGUGUGUGUGUGUGUGUGUGUGUGUGUGCGUGCAUGCGUGCGUGUGCAUGCACGUGCAUCAAUCUCGUGGGUACAGUCUUCAACGUCACCUGUCAUAGCAUCUUCUACAAAAGCAGAAAGAGUCACCUCUUCAAGCCUGUAUCAGUAGUUGGUACUGAUCCCUCAGGUGUCUCCUGUGGAGUCUCUCUUGUUUAGGUCAGAUAUUUGAAAUGUCGUGAACCCAAAACCAACAGUCUGUGGCCAAUCUGGGUCCAGAUGACAGCCCUCAACCCUGCCAUCCCCUCUGGGAAGAAACUUCUCUUGUGAAACCUCUUGAAGGGAUCUAAGAGUGUAGUAUCCCAACGCCACACACACGUCUGUCAAGCUCACCUUCCUUAAUUACCUCACAAUCUGAAAGGGGAGAUAUAGUUAAACCACUACGUGUCUCAGUACACACACACACACACACACAGACAGAGACGCAGACACACAUACACACAGACACACACAGACACACAGACACACACACAGACACAGACACAUAGACAGACACACAGACACACACCACAUACACACAGACACAGACACACACACAUACACACACCACAUACACACAGACACAGACACACACACAUAGACACACACACACCACAUACACACAGACACACAGACACAGACACACACACACACACACACACAGACACACACACACACCACAUACACACAGACACAGAUACACACACAGACACACAUACACACACCACAGACACACACACACAGACACAGACACACAGACACACACACAGUCACACAGACACACACACACCACAGACACACACACAGACACAGACACACACACACACACACCACAGACACACACACACACACACACCACAUACACACACACACCACAUACACACACACACACAGACACAGACACACAGACACACACACACACCACAGACACACACACAGACACACACCACAUACACACCACAUACACACACACCACAUACACACAGACACAGACACAGACACACACACACACACCACAGACACACACACAGACACACACACACACCACAGACACACACCACAGACACACACACAUAGACACACAGAGAGACAGACAUACACACACACAGACACACAGAGUGCGAGUCGUUUCACCCAGUGGUAUAAAAUACUGAGCUCAGUGUCUCCCUCCGAAGAGCGCCUUCCUUGGCUCGCUGGUUGGCCGCUGCUGCCUGAAGCCACCUCCUAUUUCCAGCCCGGGAUGGAACACAAGCAGAGUCUAGACUUGUCUUGGCAGUUCAAAAGCCAUGUGUAAUGUUUUUCUGUUUUUCCCAGACUCUGGUUUUGAGUCUUUUCCUCCUAAUUUUCUCAGUCUGCAAGAGACAGCUACAAAUGACCCAGGAAGCCUGCUGUCUGUCUAUUCAUCUAUCUAUAGAUGUAAAACAGGAAAAGGUGUUUGUUUGUUUGUUUGUUCUUCGUCCAUCUCUUUCCGUUUUCGUGCAUUUUUCCAUCAGCGUUUGGUCCGCCCGGGAAAGAGUUCAUAUUUCAUGAAGUGAGAAGGUUCCUCGCUUUAGUGUGGGUAGAAGGUGAGCCGAUGAGCUCUUCUUGGUAAAGUUCAUGGUUUUAUACCUUUGGAUCUCAGGGCUGCUGCGGAUUGAAACCUAGGCCUGCACAGAGGCAAGCUGGUCCCCUUCUCAGCCCCUUUCCUCGGGGGAUGCAUCUGUGUUGGCUUAGGAGGAAGAAGCCCUCACAGAGGUAACAUCAUCAGCUGAGCACCUUGUGCUCACAGUGAACUUUUCUGUGCCCUGCCCCUCCUCCAUGCUGAGACUUGUGACGUGAGCUCACCUUGCCUCUAAGUGUUGCUUUGGGCCAGGAUCUUUAAAAAAAAAAAUCUGUUUGUCUGUUUGCUUGUUGUUUAGUGUAUGUGUCCCACCAGACAGAGGGCCAGGAUCUUGUCAGCUUUUCUCUCCUCGGCUCCUGAUUUCUACUCCAGUACCCAGCACCCUUCCGCACUGCUCCCACACGGGAAGCACCCCCCGUCCGUAACAGUUCUCCAUACGCAUGGGUUGAUACCCACCCUCCUGAUCAUAAACGGGUGGCGGGAGUGGUUUCCAUCUGUGGGAAAGGCACCGGUUUCAAGUUGUGUUGGUUUAGAAGGGACCAGAGCUCUCUGCAUGAUAGGCUGCUCCUCUGAGUGACUGGUAAGCCUUUCUGAACCUCAGUUUCUUCUGUCUGCACCAUUGAUAAUGACGGCCAUUUUUAGCUGUCAUGGUGAGGCUAUUGCUCAGAGUCCACUUUAUUCCCAAAUGUGUCUUACAUGCGUAAGAUGGGCUGGAUGGUUGUGAGACCCUCAGAAAAGCCGCUCCUGAGAUUUUUCUCUUUCAGGGAAAGCAAAACGUCAUUACUGUAAGGCUCGAAGUGAGUCUUAACUACCAGGAGACCCCCCCCCCCCCCAAAUGAGACACGAGAACAGAGUUCUAUGCAAACGUAAGAGGUUUAUUUUUCCAGCAUGUUGGGGUUGACCCUCAAUCAGCCCCUCAUGGCGAGGGACUAGAAGGCAACCCUGAAUGGCUAUAACAAGCAGUUUUUAUAUUUUUAGGGGUACAGGUUACACCAGGAAGGUUACAGUUUAUACUUAUUGGCUAAGCAUAUUGACCUUUGAAUCUAUUGGCUAGUAAGCAUAUGACACACAUUCGAACUCUAUCUGGGACCCAGAGGGUCAGGUGACUACCAGUCAGGACAUCCUGUGGUUUUUCAAGAAUGUCCCUGCUCCUUGCUCCUCCCGAGAACUGUGGGUGGAGAAUGGAACUUGGCCUAGCCUUGACCUGAGGUGGUGGGUGUAAGGCUGACAAAAGCCCCUUAGGGUUCUUCAUUACCAUGCCAGCCAGGAGUGUAUUUCUCAUAGCCUUCUUAUAGUUCAGUACUGUGAAAAGCAAAGCCACGAGCUAACAGAAACAAGUUGCUGAAAUAAAUAUGCAUGAGGCAUUUUUCUCACCCAGAGCCCCCCUGUUCCCUCCACCAAGGUCAACAGAAUCUUCAGCUAUUCAUCUUGAACCUCAAGUGCACCUCUCCUUACCCUUCCAUGCCUUAGCAGGCCGGGAAAUCAGCCAACAGAUCCUGACCUGCCUUGACUCUGCCUAGCACACAGACUUUUCUCUCUUGUUCCUCAGCUCCUGACAGACUACAUAAGGUGGAAGACCCACCCUAAACUGGUGGCAGGCUACAUCAGACAUGAAAGGAAGCAUUGAUGUUUUGCCUGCUUGCUCUCACUCUUGCUGGCAAGUUCAUCUGUCCUGCUGCUGAGGCAUCCCUUCACUGGCAUUAGAGCCUACCUCUUUGGGCUUCUGAUGCAUACUGAACCCCAGCUGAGACACCCAUUGUUUAGAAGGAGUGGGGAUAGAAAACAAGAGAGCAAACCCACAGAGGAAUAAGAAAACUCUCUAUGAAAGUUCUGAUUCAUAAUUUUGACAUGUCUGUAGUGGCUUGGAUCUUAAAUGCCCCCCACCGCACCCAGAACCCGUAGCAACCAACAGAACAGUGAUCUUAGGGAGAAGAGUUCAGAAGGAAAUUAGUCACUGGUGGGUCAAGGGGGCCCACCACAGGGUAAACAGUUUUGUUUGACCUUAAAUUCUCUUCCAUGAUACAAGCACUAGGAGGUGGUCGUCUGGGUUACCAGGGUCCACAAAAUUAACUUUAGAUACACAGUUGGGUUGUGUUUUUGGGACCCUAGGGAUUAACAACUUGCAAAGAGAUGACCGCUCAGAAGUGGACUUUUCGUUUGGUAGCCCAUGGAGGAGGCGCUGUCCCCAUUGUAGAGUAACUCCUCUUAAAUUCCGUUUUUCUACUUUAGGAUGCUUAUCCCUCUCCAUACCCUUCUGUGCCCUACCUUCCCAUUGACUGCCACAUUCCCUCCUUCUUGUUCUGUUAUUACCAUCCCCCCCUCCCUCACAGCACCUCUGUUCUAUCCCUUUUCCCUUGAACAUGGCUCUCAAGGCUCCAUGUGAGACUAGAGACACCUAUGGGCACUUCAGGUUACUACCAUCAUUCUGCCUAAAGCUCUCCUGGUGAAGACACCAGGUACUGAGCCACAAACACAAAAAAAACCCCCAAACUGUUACCAAUGUGAAAGCUUCAUCCCUACUGGCUAGUUUUCAUGUCGAUUGGUGCUACUAUGUGUCUAAGUUAGAGUUUCACUGCUGUGAACAGACACCAUGACAAAGGCAAGUCUUAUAAAAGACAACAUUUAACUGGGGCUGGCUUACAGGUUCAGAGGUUCAGUCCAUUAUCAUCAAGGCAGGAGCAUGGCAGCAUCCAGGCAGGCAUGGUGCAGGAGGAGCUGAGAGUUCUACAUCUUCACCUGAAAGUUUCUAGUGGAAAACUCACUUCCAGGCAGCUAGGAAGAGGGUCUUAAAGCCCACACCCACAGUGACACACCUACUCUGAGGCCACACCUCCAAAUAGUGCCACACCCUGUGCUAAGCUUAUACAAACUAUCACACUAGGGAAGAAAAUCUUACCCAACUGGGAACCCAGAAAACUACAAUAGUCAAUGUCCCAGCAGUAUAGACCCACGGGCGCAACAGUGGUGUGAAUGUUCUUCGAGUAACCAAUCACUUUCUGGCGUAGAUUUGAAGCCUUUUUCACAAGACAGAACUCGGGCCAGGAAGAAUAGGGGCGAGGCUGACCUCACAGCUCCUGGGAAAGGAGGCACAAGGCUUUAGUGUAAGAUUUUUAUCCCAACUUUACGGACAAGCAAUUCUUACAUAAGCUUGUUAGAAAUGACUAUAAAUAUGAAAUGUUAACGAGAAAAAAAAAAAAAAAAAACCAAGACAAAA
Molecule: non-coding RNA, 42094 nt
Organism: Rattus norvegicus (Norway rat)
Lineage: Eukaryota; Metazoa; Chordata; Mammalia; Rodentia; Muridae
Source: RefSeq, a predicted model, not a curated record